GAUUAUGGCUUUUUUGCCGAUAUCCUACAAACCCUGUUUCCAUAUGAGUUGGGAAAUUGUGUUCGAUGUAAAAAUAAACGGAAUACAAUGAUUUGCAAAUCAUUUUCAACCCAUAUUCAGUUGAAUAAAAAACAUAUUUGAUGUUUGUGAAAGACUCGUGCCGUCUUGCGGGUUCCAGGGGCCACUAAGGAAGGACACGGCUUUGAGCAGGUCUCCCGUCCAAAGGCAAAACCUAGUAACUCACUUCUAGCUGAUUUUGAGAAAACAAAGCAAAACCAAUCCAUCUUGAUGCUAUUUUACAAAGAUCCACUAAGUCAUCAAACGUAUGGCUGUUUUCUUGAGCUUUCAUUUUCUUGCCGACUGAGCCAUGGAUUGAAUCCGCUCUCAUGAAUGUGUGCCCUUUCUCCUUAUAUUUAUCACAAUCUUACCUUGUCUCGGCCUUUCCACGCCCAAACAGACAAACUUCACCUAGAACUGAAAACAGGUCAGUGCAGUAGUGUCCGAUAAUGGCUUUUUUGCCGAUAUCCUACAAACUCUGUUUCCAUAUGAGUUGGGAAAUUGUGUUCGAUGUAAAAAUAAACGGAAUACAAUGAUUUGCAAAUCAUUUUCAACCCAUACUCAGUUGAAUAAAAAACAUAUUUGAUGUUUGUGAAAGACUCGUGCCGUCUUGCGGGUUCCAGGGACCACUAAGGAAGGACCCGGCUUUGAGCAGGUCUCCCGUCCAAAGGCAAAACCUAGUAACUCACUUCUAGCUGAUUUUGAGAAAACAAAGGAAAACCAAUCCAUCUUGAUGCUGUUUUACAAAUAUCUACUAAGUCAUCAAACGUAUGGCUGUUUUCUUGAGCUUUCAUUUUCUUGCCGACUGAGCCAUGGAUUGAAUCCGCUCUCAUGAACGUGUGCCCUUUCUCCUUAUAUUUAUCACAAUCUUACCUUGUCUCGGCCUUUCCACGCCCAAACAGACAAACUUCACCUAGAGCUGAAAACAGGUCAGUGCAGUAGUGUCCGAUAAUGGCUUUUUUGCCGAUAUCCUACAAACUCUGUUUCCAUAUGAGUUGGGAAAUUGUGUUCGAUGUAAAAAUAAACGGAAUACAAUGAUUUGCAAAUCAUUUUCAACCCAUAUUCAGUUGAAUAAAAAACAUAUUUGAUGUUUGUGAAAGACUCGUGCCGUCUUGCGGGUUCCAGGGGCCACUAAGGAAGGACACGGCUUUGAGCAGGUCUCCCGUCCAAAGGCAAAACCUAAUAACUCACUUCUAGAUGAUUUUGAGAAAACAAAGGAAAACCAAUCCAUUUUGAUGCUGUCUUACAAAGAUCUACAAAGUCAUCAAACGUAUGGAUGUUUUCUUGAGCUUUCAUUUUCUUGCCGAUUGAUCCAUGGAUUGAAUCUGCUCUCAUGAACGUGUGCCCUUUCUCCAGAUAUUUUAUCACGAUCUUACCUUGUCUCGGCCUUUCCACGCCCAAACAGACAAACUUCACCUAGAACUGAAAACAGUGCCUCAGACUGGAAGUCUCCGCAGAGAGUGGUGAGGACGGCGGAAAAGAUCAUCAUCUCUGUGCUGCUGAUCCGCCUCUGCUUGGGAUGGUUUCCUGUUGGCUCCACUAUGGACGAGACUCUCGCUACUGAGUUGGAUCCACUUUGGACUGGACUCUCACGGUUGUGUUGGAUCAAUCAAUCAAUCAAUCAAUCAAUGUUUAUUUAUAUAGCCCUAAAUCACAAAUGUCUCAAAGGACUGUACAAACCACUACGACUAUGACAUCCUUGGAAGAACCCACAAAAGGGCAAGGAAAACUCACACCCAGUGGGCAAGGAAAAUUCACACCCAGUGGGACGCCAGUGACAAUGAUGACUAUGAGAACGUUGGAGAGGACCUCAAAUGUGGGGAACCCCCCCCCCCCUAUAGGGGACCGAAAGCAAUGGAUGUCGAGCGGGUCUAACAUGAUACUGUGAAAGUUCAAUCCAUAGUGGCUCCAGCAUAGCCGCGAGAGUUCAGUUCAAAGCGGAUCCAAGACAGCAGCGAGAGUCCCGUCCACAGGAAACCAUCCCAAGCCGAGUCGGAUCAGCAUCGUAGAGAUGUCCCCAACCGAUACACAGGCGAGCGGUCCAUCCUGGGUCCCGACUCUGGACAGCCAGUACUUCAUCCAUGGUCAUCGGACCGGACCCCCUCCACAAGGGAGGGGGGGACAGAGGAGAAAAACAAAAGAAGCGGCGGAUCAACUGGUCUAAAAAGGAGGUCUAUUUAAAGGCAAGAGUAUACAAAUGAGUUUUAAGGUGAGACUUAAAUGCUUCUACUGAGGUAGCAUCUCGAACUGUUACCGGGAGGGCAUUCCAGAGUACUGGAGCCACUAUGGAUUGAACUUUCACAGUAUCAUGUUAGACCCGCUCGACAUCCAUUGCUUUUGGUCCACUGGAGGGGGGGGGGGGGUUCUCUCCAAGGUUUGUCAUUGUCCUCAUUGUCACCGACGUCCCACUGGGUGUGAGUUUUCCUUGCCCUUAUGUGGGCCCUUCCGAGGAUGUUGUUGUGGUUUGUGCAGCCCUUUGAGACACUAGUGAUUUAGGUCUAUAUAAGUAAUCAUUGAUUGAUUGAUCAGGACUCCUCUUCCUCCUAUCCGGGAGAUCGCAAAAAGCCGCUGCCUGACCAGGGCUCGGAAAAUCUGCUGAGACCCCUCCCACCCCCACCAAGGACUGUUUUCACUGCUGGGACUCUAGAAAGAGGUUCCGCAGCCUCCGUAGCAGAACCUCCAGGUUCUGUAACAGCUUUUUCCCUCAGGUCAUGAGACUCUUGAACGCAUCACGAAUUAACUGGCUGGAAUAUAAAGACAGUAUAACAUACAUCCAUAAACGUGGAUGGAUAUGCAAAAGUGCAAUAUAUUUAUCUGUACAGUAAUCUAUUUAUAUCUGCACCUAUUGCUCUUUGAUCCUGUGCUACCAUGAGCUAAUGCAACAAAAUUUCGUUCUUAUCUGUACUGUAACAUUCAAAUUUGAAUGACAAUAAAAAGGAAGUCAAAGUGUAA
This is a long non-coding RNA of Nerophis ophidion (straightnose pipefish), 3009 nucleotides long. RefSeq lists it as uncharacterized. Lineage: Eukaryota; Metazoa; Chordata; Actinopteri; Syngnathiformes; Syngnathidae. The transcript has 2 exons. The record is from RefSeq and is a predicted model, not a curated record.